UACAGGGGGUGCAAGCGUUACUCGGAUUUACUGGGCGUAAAGAGCGUGUAGGUGGUUUGUUAAGUCUGGUGUGAAAUCCCUGGUCUCAAACCAGGAAGUGCAUUGGAUACUGGCAGACUAGAAUAUAGGAGGGGUGAGCGGAAUUCCCGGUGUAGAGGUGAAAUUCGUAGAUAUCGGGAGGAACAACAGAGGCGAAGGCGGCUCACUGGACUAUUAUUGACACUAAGGCGCGAAAGCGUGGGGAGCAAACAGG
Molecule: ribosomal RNA, 253 nt
Filed under: uncultured bacterium
Lineage: Bacteria
Description: partial 16S ribosomal RNA
Rfam family: Bacterial small subunit ribosomal RNA
Source: RNAcentral